RNAcentral lists this ribosomal RNA (270 nucleotides) under uncultured archaeon. Its description in RNAcentral is "partial 16S ribosomal RNA". It matches the Rfam family "Archaeal small subunit ribosomal RNA", at positions 477 to 747 of the family's 1478-position model. The record is from RNAcentral.
CAGCACCUCAAGUGGUCAGGAUGAUUAUUGGGCCUAAAGCAUCCGUAGCCGGCUCUGUAAGUUUUCGGUUAAAUCUGUACGCUCAACGUACAGGCUGCCGGGAAUACUGCAGAGCUAGGAAGUGGGAGAGGUAGACGGUACUCGGUAGGAAGGGGUAAAAUCCUUUGAUCUAUUGAUGACCACCUGUGGCGAAGGCGGUCUACCAGAACACGUCCGACGGUGAGGGAUGAAAGCUGGGGGAGCAAACCGGAUUAGAUACCCGAGUAGUCC